Daphnia magna is the source of this 1117-nucleotide long non-coding RNA. RefSeq lists it as uncharacterized. The record is from RefSeq and is a predicted model, not a curated record. Lineage: Eukaryota; Metazoa; Arthropoda; Branchiopoda; Diplostraca; Daphniidae. The transcript has 2 exons.
CGUUCAGUGCAUUUCAUGCUCUGCCAGGUAGCAAUCUUGCUCUUCCACAGCGAGCCCUUCUCAAUGUUUUGUUAAUAUUGUCAGUCGCCAUUUCUUUCGCUGCUUUUAUUGCGUUUCGUCUAGGUCGUUUCUGCUGUUCUCAAUGUCGUCGGAAAAAGUUUCCUGUUGAAACAAAGAAGAAGAAUUAAACUUUUUCUUCUCCCUACCGGUUAUUAAUUCAAAAAAUAUAAUUUUUUGGCAGACUGCUAAAAUACCUACUACGCACGAAAGUGUUUUGAAACAGGUACAGUAGCAAAUGACAGUUCUCCAUGAAAAAAAUAGAUUUUAGUUGUCAUAAUACCUUGCAAUGGAUCAACUUUCGGCAUUGCGUGUAACUUCUUUCAUUUUACUUCUUUCGUGCCACUUUACCAUAAGUAACGGAAAGGUUCAUACCGAAUUAGGGAAUGUUCUCAUUUUUAACCAGAAAGUGAUAACUUGCCAGUAGACGUUUUUGCUGACAAUAAAAUAACAAAUUAAAUAAACGAAAUGCGACUGCACUGCGUCACAAUCCUGCAAUACACCAGCUGGGCAUUCUACCUUUAAGAGGAAUUUUUUUUAAUAAGAAACAAAAUUUUAUGAAGGCUUACCUGAUAAUCCAUCUAAGACGAUAGCUUCACAACACGCUGCUAGUUCCUGGAACAACUAUAAAGUCUUUGAGUACAAAACCAGCGAAGUGGUAACAAGAAUUGUUUCAACUCAUAAUGCAAAUACCUGGAAACGCGAUUCUUACGCCAAUGGUGGAACACGAGAAGUAGUGGUCCUUCGAGGGAGUGAUUUGCGUCUACCUGAGUGCUAUUUACGUAAAAUUAACUUGAACAAAGCUGCUUCUCCGACUUUUCUACAGGAUUGCACUCAAUGACCUUUGACUAAAUUGGGGGCGUCUUGGUAGCAGUGAGUCUCGUUCAUGUCGUAAUGACUUUGCUCCAAACGCAACUAAUAAUCCGUCAUUCAGAUUUCGGAAGGGCUCCAUAGUAGAGUUCAAGAAGCAAGCACACUUCACUCUAUCCGAUUAAUUGCUGUCCUUUAUGCCAAAUGUACGAUAUGUUUACUAUACAUGAGUACAUCAUUAGAACGUCAA